Non-coding RNA from Prochlorococcus marinus, 54 nucleotides. The record is from Rfam. NCBI's taxonomy places the organism in Bacteria, Bacillati, Cyanobacteriota, Cyanophyceae, Synechococcales, Prochlorococcaceae.
AUGGGGGAAACCCCAUACUCCUCACACACCAAAUCGCCCGAUUUAUCGGGCUUU